GAAAAGUAUGAAAAAAAAAAAAUUUCAAGAAAUUUUUUUGGGUCAAUUGCAUAAGGUCCCUACAAACAUAAUGAAUUACAGAUAUAUUCCUGUAAAGUUUAAUUUUCAUAAGUUAUUCCUACAAAAAUUCUAAUGUUUUCAGAUAUGUCCCUGUCGUUAAAAUCCAUUAGAAAAGUUUAGUUAACCAUAGGUUAAAUGCUUUACCCGGAUUAAUUUUUGACAUUUUUACCCCUGUUAUAUUAUACUGUUAUAAUUUUUGGAGGGGCAUAUUUGUGAUGGCAAAAUUGAAAAUAUAAAAAUUUUUUAACGGUUCUCUAACGGUAACAAACUAGAGGGACAUAUCUGAAAACAUUAUGACUUUUGCAUGGAUAACUUAUGAAAGUUAAACUUUACAGAGAUAUAUUUGUAAUUCACUAUGUUUGCGGAGACCUAUAUGCAAUUAGCCCAAAUUUGUUUAU
Molecule: long non-coding RNA, 458 nt
Filed under: Ananas comosus (pineapple)
Lineage: Eukaryota; Viridiplantae; Streptophyta; Magnoliopsida; Poales; Bromeliaceae
Description: long non-coding RNA (ACOM_LNC031740)
Source: RNAcentral